RNAcentral lists this ribosomal RNA (497 nucleotides) under uncultured bacterium. Its description in RNAcentral is "partial 16S ribosomal RNA". It matches the Rfam family "Bacterial small subunit ribosomal RNA", at positions 28 to 507 of the family's 1533-position model. The record is from RNAcentral.
GAUGAACGCUGGCGGCGUGCCUAAUACAUGCCAGUCGAGCGAACAGAUGAGGAGCUUGCUCCUCUGACGUUAGCGGCGGACGGGUGAGUAACACGUGGAUAACCUACCUAUAAGACUGGGAUAACUUCGGGAAACCGGAGCUAAUACCGGAUAAUAUAUUGAACCGCAUGGUUCAAUAGUGAAAGACGGUUUUGCUGUCACUUAUAGAUGGAUCCGCGCCGCAUUAGCUAGUUGGUAAGGUAACGGCUUACCAAGGCAACGAUGCGUAGCCGACCUGAGAGGGUGAUCAGCCACACUGGAACUGAGACACGGUCCAGACUCCUACGGGAGGCAGCAGUAGGGAAUCUUCCGCAAUGGGCGAAAGCUUGACGGAGCAACGCCGCGUGAGUGAUGAAGGUCUUCGGAUCGUAAAACUCUGUUAUUAGGGAAGAACAAAUGUGUAAGUAACUAUGCACGUCUUGACGGUACCUAAUCAGAAAGCCACGGCUAACUACGUG